RNAcentral lists this ribosomal RNA (1575 nucleotides) under Triticum aestivum (bread wheat). Its description in RNAcentral is "partial small subunit ribosomal RNA". Lineage: Eukaryota; Viridiplantae; Streptophyta; Magnoliopsida; Poales; Poaceae. The record is from RNAcentral.
AUGGCGCUCUUCCUCGGCCUGCUCCGCCGCACCCACCUGCUCUCGCGCCACGUCUCCUCCUCCCCCGCCGCCGUCGCCGCCGGCUGCCUCGGCGCCGUCCAGCCGCUCUGCCGCGGGAUGCGCCGCUGCCGCGGCCUCGUGCUCGGCAUCGUCGGCCGCUCCGCCGCCGCGCGCUGCCUCGCCACCCGCAGCCUCGCAUUCCGGAUGAGCGUCCUCUACUUCGACCCCCGCUAUCUGGCUGAAGGGAAAAUGCGGCGGCCUUCCAUUGUAUUUCCUGCUGCUGCUAGGAGAAUGGAUACUCUCAAUGAUCUAUUGGCAGCAAGUGAUCUUGUUUCACUGCAUUGUACAUUAACAAAUGACACAAUGCAUAUACUUAAUGGGGACUGCCUGCAACACAUUAAGCCUGGAGCAUUCAUUGUCAACACUGGUAGUUGCCAACUUAUAGAUGACUGUGCGCUCAAACAGCUCUUGCUUGAUGGUACCAUAGCUGGUUGUGCAUUGGAUGGUGUUGAAGGUCCACAAUGGAUGGAAGCAUGGGUGCGGGAAAUGCCAAAUGUUCUAAUUCUUCCUAGAAGUGCAGACUACAGUGAAGAAGUGUGGAUGGAAAUAAGAGAGAAAGCAAUCACGAUACUACAGUCCUUUUUCUAUGAUGGUGUUGUUCCAAGUAGUUCAAUUUCUGAUGAAGAUGAGGAAAUUAGUGAAGCUGGAAAUGAAGAUGAUCAAGACAGAGGAACAAAAGAUAACCAUUCACAAGUUUUUGAUGGCGAACAUCAGACUGAUGAAAGCCAUUUAACUCUCAACUAUGAAAAGAAAAGAGCCACAUCCCAGUAUAAAGAAUCUCAAGCUCCAGGGCAAUCAUCACAAAAUAGUGGCUCACGAACAGAAGGAAGGCGUAGUCGCUCUGGAAAGAAAGGGAAAAAAAGACCUGCUCACCGCAGAUCUCAGAAAACAGACGACUUGUCUGCUGUAGAGAGUGACAGUAAUUAUUCCUUCCGCAGAGAUGAUGAUAAUGCAACGAGUGGCAGAGACCAGGUGGUAAGUUCAAGUUCACGGUUUGCUUCCCCUGAGGACUCAAAGUACAAGCAGAAAUCUCCUGUUGAAUCGCCAAUGGAAAUAACUUCGGAGAAGAAGUUACCUGUCGUGCUUGGUAGAAAAUGCCCUGAUACACUAAAAGAUGGUUAUGUUGUAGCUUUGAGAGCAAAAGAUAAUUCAGGGUUCCAUGUUGCAAGACAAAGACUUGCUGGUGGUGGUGGUUGGAUCCUUGAUGUUGUGUCAAAUGCUACGAACAGGGACCCUGCUGCUCAGUUCCUUGUCACUUUCAAAAACAAGGAUCUGAUGGGAUUGCGAUCCUUUGUUGCUGGUGGCAAACUGUUACAGAUCAAUAGGAAGAUGGAGUUUGUGUUUGCGAGCCAUAGUUUCGAUGUCUGGGAGGGCUGGGUGCUGGAAGUGGAAGGCUCCUUGCUGGAGGGGUGCAAGCUUAUCAACUGCCGAAAUUCCUCGGCUGUAUUGGACGUGUCCAUUGAGGUACUCGCAGCUGCGAGUGAAGAAGAUGGAGUCACCCGGUGGCUAGAUUAG